ACCCAGCUGACUCAGUAGAUAGAGCAUGUGACUCUUGAUCUCAGGGUUGUGGGUUUGAGCCCCACAGUGGGUG
This 73-nucleotide transfer RNA is filed under the name Canis lupus familiaris (dog). It matches the Rfam family "tRNA". Rfam says of the family: Transfer RNA (tRNA) molecules are approximately 80 nucleotides in length. RNAcentral also lists the same sequence under 1 other name. The record is from Rfam by way of RNAcentral. Lineage: Eukaryota; Metazoa; Chordata; Mammalia; Carnivora; Canidae.